Molecule: ribosomal RNA, 668 nt
Filed under: uncultured Gammaproteobacteria bacterium
Lineage: Bacteria; Pseudomonadati; Pseudomonadota; Gammaproteobacteria
Description: SSU rRNA
Rfam family: Bacterial small subunit ribosomal RNA
Source: RNAcentral
CAGCUAGUUGGUGAGGUAACGGCUCACCAAGGCGACGAUCCGUAGCUGGUCUGAGAGGACGACCAGCCACACCGGAACUGAGACACGGUCCGGACUCCUACGGGAGGCAGCAGUGGGGAAUAUUGGACAAUGGGGGCAACCCUGAUCCAGCGACGCCGCGUGGGUGAAGAAGGCCUGCGGGUUGUAAAGCCCUUUCGGUGGGGAAGAAAAGUCUCGGCCUAACAUGCCGGGAUCUUGACGUAACCCACAAAAGAAGCACCGGCUAACUCUGUGCCAGCAGCCGCGGUAAUACAGAGGGUGCGAGCGUUAAUCGGAAUUACUGGGCGUAAAGCGCGCGUAGGCGGCUUUGCAAGUCGGAUGUGAAAUCCCCGGGCUUAACCUGGGAACUGCAUUCGAGACUGCAUUGCUAGAGUAUGGGAGAGGGAAGUGGAAUUUCAGGUGUAGCGGUGAAAUGCGUAGAUAUCUGAAGGAACAUCAGUGGCGAAAGCGACUUCCUGGACCAAUACUGACGCUCAUGUGCGAAAGCGUGGGGAGCAAACAGGAUUAGGUACCCUGGUAGUCCACGCCAUAAACGAUGAGAACUGGAUGUCGGGAGGGUUAGCCUCUCGGUGUCGUAGCUAACGCGUUAAGUUCUCCGCCUGGGGAGUACGGCCGCAAGGUUGAAACUC